UUAUCAAUUAAGUUGUAUAAAGUGUUAAAAGAGAAAGCAAACAAUCUGCCACUGCGCUACUGAUAUUGGAAUACAACAAAAAUAUUUAAGGUAAGUUAUUUUUUCUUAUUUUCAUGAAAUGAUGAAAAAUAUAUUUUCUUUAAAAAGGAAGUAUUGCAGAAGUUUAUAAUUAACAUUGUAUGUUUUUUAAAUAUAUAUUUUAAAGACAUUGGGUUUCAAAAUUCAUGUUAGAAAAUAUUAUAACUAAUUUGUCAAAGAAAAACCCGUUUAAUGGUUGUCUUAUGUUGCAUUUUGAUGUCUUUUACUAUUUGAUGCACUUUGUGUUGAUGGCAGAUCUUUUCUAGUUUCUGCUUGAGUGAAUUACAACUUUUUGUACUCUAUUGAGAGCUUCGCAUGUCAACACCUAUGUGUUGUAGUGGUCUUGGUUAUAUUGUCACUUUGUAAACUUAAUUGACGUCGUCAUGUCAUCACUGUCGUUCUCAUAGAAACCAAGUAUCAUCCUCGGUAUCAUCAUAUUUUCAGCUAGUAGAAAGUAAUCUUAAGAAUACAAAUACCGUUACUUCUAUGGUACAUGCAGUUUUGGUUUUCACCCAAAAAACCUUGUAACUUCACGUCUUUAACACUUGAGUCUUUCAUAUCUAUUUAAAUACGUGUUGCAAUCAAGAUAGACGGCUUGUCUUUAAAAAAAAAUGAUCAGGACUUAAAAUACAUGUGUAUCGACCUCUAGAUUUCUUUAUCGCGGGAAUUUUUGGCAUGAGUUUAAAUUGCUUUCUUUUGACGUUAUCCAUAUAUCUACCUUGGAUAAUAUUGCAGGAAUAUUUCUAUAUUUGUGCGUGAUGUUUUUAAAUUUGAUGCGACUUCAAUCAUCUGAUGCAACUUCCCUCUGUUGAAUAACCCCGUGUGUCGUUAAACAAUCAAAGAUGAUUUUUAACACGACAUAGUCACUGAAUACCUCAUGUAUAUAUGUUACCAUAGGUAUUUUGUAUUUUAUGUCUGUAAUUCAAGAUCAUUAAUAUAUAUAUGUUUGGAUUCUGUUACCAAAUUCUUGGCUGACCUUCAUGUCCUUGUUAAAGUUUUAAGGAUAGCUGCUACAAGUUUCCAUGGCAAUUAUGUCAAAUAUCCCUUUUAUUUUCUUUUGAACUUUUACAUGUAACAAUUUCAAUGCGCGUGACAUAUAUUUCAUAAGAAAUGCCGCAUCACUAAACAUUUUACGAACGAUGCAUUUUGAUUUCUUUGCUUUUUGGUCAUACAUGAACUAUACACAGAUGAUGAGAAAAGGAAGAUUGGUUGACUCAGUAGAACAUGUAAACUUAGCCUAUAUCGGAUGUAUAUAGCUUUCAAUCAGAAAUUCUCUACCAUAUAUAGUGCACUUAUGUUUACAGUUUGUUGGAAAAUCGAUAGCAAAGGAAAUUGAAGUUUUCCACAAGUGAUUACAAAACUAUUUGGGCACUUACAAUCUAACCAGCGACAUUACUUGAACUUUCAAAUUUAAUUUCCCAUCAGUCGCAAGGCAGAUGGACAUGUUUAAAAAAUACUGACCAAAACCACUUAGAAUAUUUAACAGGCGGACAAAAAUGUUUGCCGGUAUCCCGGGUGAGAGCGUUAUCUUUACGACAUAUAAAUAGCUGUGUAAUUGACAGUUUAAAACUCCCAAGUAUCCUCAUUGAUACACGAUAUCUCUGCUACUGCUUGCCAUCAAAGGAAUUUCCCAAUACACCUUCUCCGCCUUCAAGUGUGAAGAACACUUAAAUCACAAGGAGGGUUCCUUGCUCCUUUCAUAUGGAAUAAUCUUGUGACUUCUAUUCUGAUUUAUGGGUCAUAGAUGAAAUGAAGAAGUUGAUCUUUGUCUUUAUCAAGGGUCUGCACAGAGAACACAAGACUGAAAUCAUGUGAGAAGUAGAAAUUAAGAUGUCACAAUAAUUGCGGGGAAUUCUUCAGUUCUCUUUUUUUUUUGGUCUUUUGUUUUUAGGAUAUCUACAUUGUUUUACAAAAAGCGUUCUGGUUGACAAUGUGGACAUCACAUCUUAUUUAGAUGUAAGUAAACAAAAUCUAUUUAUAAAAUAAUGAAAUAUGAAAAAGUGAUUGAUUGAUACAUGAACCACAACAAACACUAUCCAACACAUACAUUUAAAAUUCGCUGCAAGAAAGAAAACCGAACACAAUGCAUAUUACUUGACAUGCUACAGGCAAUAAUGUGGUGAGAUUGAAUAUUAAAAUAUCUUGUGACUUAUGAGUUUGACUAUCCCUUUGGUAUUUUCCGCCUUUCUUGUGUUAUAGCUAUAGGAAAACCUACAGUUGAAGUGAUCUGAAAUGUUGUGACGAUAGUUUAUUAAGGUAGACCCCAUCAUAUCUAUAUCUGCUGCGUGCAUCAAGAAAAAUGUCUAGCUCAUGUGUUUGUCACAAGUUGUUGCAUUUUCUGUGUGUCUAGUUUUUUCUCUUUGAUUUGUUCUGUUAUAUGUAAUACAUGUACGUGUCAAUUGACCGUUUUGUUACCCAAACAUCAACUUCAACUUUCAACAAGUCAAUUAAUUUUGUCUGCAACAAGUUGGUUGGUAACUAUUGCAGAUGGUGGCUCAACAAUAAACAUGAAAUAUUGUGUGGCGAUUUCUAGCAGAAAAUUGCAGUAAAUCAUAGUUAUAUUUGGCUUCCAACUUUAAAAAGGUUGUAAUUGGUGUCUUAUGUAGGAAAAGUAAAAAGGUUGUAAUUGGUGUCUUAUGUCGGAAAAGUAUAUACUUAGUAUGCUUGUCGUAAUGCCACGGUUUGUUUCAUAUUCGGAAAUCAAAAGUUUCUGGUCUUUUUCUGUCUGUCUAGAGAAUGUAAGGAUCGAAGAUCAUUGACUUUGGAAAAUGAUAUAUAGACUUCACAUAACUGAUGGCUAUUAUCAAUGUGGUGAUUUUGUUGUGACAAGCGGUAAUCAAUACCCCUACUUACAUUUAUAAUAAAGAAACCAAUAUUUAAAUAAUAUUACCAAGUUAAUAAAUAGUUUUGUUUCUGUGCUACCCGGGGAAGUGAGGCAGACUUAAGGACAAAACAAAUAAAACGAUUGUAAACACAGAUAGGAAAGCAGUAACAACCAACACCAAAACUAUUUCCUGUACCCGAGGCGCCAUCUGGGGUAAAUAAUGAUGUUAUCUACCUCCAAUAAUGUGAUGACUGUAGAUAUCCCCUAAAAAAAGUGUAACAUUACGUUCUUUCUUGUUCAAUAUGCCAUUCAAUGAAGAAAUAAAUAUUAUAUGUUUUUGUAAGUUGUCAAACCGUAACAAUUAUAAUUGACUGGGGUCGAGACGUCACAAAUCAAUUAAGUGAUUUGCUUUUCCGGUUGUCGUUGUUCGAUGUUUUUUGUAAUGUUUAUUAGUUUGGCUUUCUGAAGAUAUUUUUAUGCUGAAGUACUGUAAUAGUUUAGUUAUUUUGCAUAUUUUCUUCAUCUUCGUCAAAAACUUAUCUUUUCAAUCUCUCUGAGGACGGUUUUCAUUUCUUCCGAUUUUUAUACCUAUUGAGGCCAUCUUCUUAUGAUCAAAGUAAACUUAUACGAGACAUAGUUUAACCUUCGACAUUAGCCAAAUAAACACCUAUCAUUAAAAUGCAUAUAUAGAAUAUCAUCAAUAAUUUGUAUAAAAGAUAUUAAACAUGUUUUAAAGUUUGGUCUCAAUUGCAUAUUUUAUAAGCCCCGAGCUUUUAUUAAACAAGAUGGAAAUUGUCUCUUUGAAAGACAUAUAAAAACUCAUAAAAAUAAAAACUUUUUUGAAUGUGGAAAAGUUUUAUAAGUUUUCAUAAUUGAAAUAGGAGAUUAAGUUGUAUUUUAUGAUUAUUUGCUGUUUAAAACGUUGUUUUAUGUUUCCAGACCACGUAGAGCUACUGCAUUCAGUUGCUGGUUUUAAAAUAAAAUUGAAGAAAAAAAUCAUUAACAUAAAAAGUGUUUAAUGAGAGUUUUAGAUUUAAGUAUAUUUCUCAUAGAUUUGGGUAUCUUUGAAAGUUGAAGGGGACAAAUACCGUUGUAAAGGCAGAAUAGGAUGAGAAAUCAAAAAUAAAAGAAUAAGACAGUAUAAUUAAGAAGAAUUAAAACACGCAGCUUAACUUAUAAAUAUCUUAUGAUUAUGAAUUUAGAAGACUUCAAGUACAGGACAACACUAUCGAAAGAGAGAAAAAUCACUGAUUUCUGAGAUGCAUACCAGUUUCUAGUUCUUUGUAGAGCAAAGUCUCAGUUUAAAAUGAUACUUUCUUCAUUUUCCCCAUAUACAUAUAUGAAGAACUAUAUCUCCCCUGGCGAACUAUUUUAAAACAAAUUGAGGAGUUUGUAACUAAGGUUCAUAACCCUGAUAGAACUAACCUCACCCUUUUCUUUUCAUUAUUGAAGGAACUAUAUAUAACGAUAGAUAUAUUUAUGACUAUGUAAUUCAUUUUGAGCGGAAUCCAUAUAUACCAUUAUUAAUCAAUCAAUCAAUCAAUCAAUCAAUCAAUCGAUCGAUCUUCGUUAUAUUUGAUCUUCAUCCUGUAUGGGUUUUGCUCAUUGUACGGUGAUGUUUAGCUCUUUAUUUGUAUGCCGGACAUUUGGUCUCUUGUUGAGAGUUGUUUCAUGGGCAACCCUAAUACCACAUCUUCUUAUUUAAAUGUACACUGCACGACAAGAGGCGAUAACUUUCAACAGAGAAACCACGUGUCUUUUACAGUUGAUAUCCAUUCGUUUGAUGUUUUUGAGCUUUUGAUUUUGUCAUUUUAUUAAGGACUUUACGUUUUGAAUUUUCCACGGAGUUCAGUAUUUUUGUGACUUUACUUUUUGCACACCUGACUUACAUUUGCAAGUCAUAAAAGUUUAUCAGAUAUACCUGUUACAGCAUAACAUAACAAUUAAACCAGCUGGUAGCUAAAACAUAAAUGAAUGAUUUAUGUAGGUCAGAAAUACUGUUGUUGCAUGUUUUUAUUAUUGCCGCAACAUUUCACCUUUUCCUGUUUCCGAGAUUUUCAGAAAGAACAGAUUUUUCAGAUUAAGAUCGCUAUCAAACUUCACCACGAAAUCAUUUCAUGACACGUGACAUUUUAGGAUUGUAUUUUUUAUAGCAGCCAUAUAAUUUUAAAAUUUAAACUAAAUUUAAAGCGAUAACAAUCAAGUGCACUUUAAUCACGUGAUUUUAAUGCAUUUGUCUGAUGGUAAAUGUUGUACAUAAUACAUGAAUUAUGUGUAAACUUAAAAGUGAAGAAAGGCUACGCCUAUUUAUAUAACAAGAGACCUAUAUGUAAAACUGCUGCACUCAGCAUAUCAUAAUUUUGUCCUAUUACUUUAUUUGACUUUAACACCUGCACGAAUUUGAAAAAUGAACAGAAACAAAGAAACAAAAACCCAAAGACACACGAUUGGGUGUUUUUAUUGCUGUUCUGUUACUUCAGAAACAAGGAUUUGUAAAGUGACCACUAUGACCACUAUGCAAAUCCCUGUCAGAAACAAAACAAGCAUUCAGACAAACAAUUACAUGUAUAACGAAGUGUCACUCUUUACUGUUAGCAGAUGUAAGUUAAUAAUAACAUGAAUAACGAUAGGUGUUUGGACAUACAUAAGCCUAGAGAGAUACGUACAAGAAGGGUGAAGAAGCGUCACCUAGAAUCAUGGAUAAAUUAACGAUUUAAAUGGAUUUAUUUACUUUACUCAAACAUUUGGCCAGGAUUAUUUAUCAGUUCAUAACACAACUUUGGAUUUAAGAGCUGUCAUACAUGUAUUUACUGAGCCCGAAAAUUAACUUUCACACCUUCAUGUCACCCGUGUAAUAAAUUUUGACAGUAGUUUAAUUGAUUUCAGAACACCAGAAAAAUAAAUCCUAUAAACAAGUUUUAUUACAUUUUAAAAUCUUGUGAGAAAAACAGUGGGAGUUGAAACCUUAAACUAUGAGACACUAAAUAAGAUUUCCUUUUUUCUAAAACAACUUUCAAUGCAGUUAGCCCUGUGAGAGUCUGAGAAAAAAAUCAUUGCAAGUACCUUACCUAGCAAUAACAUAUGUUUUACAGCCUGUGUACUGACUUCAGCAAUACUAUUGGACGGCAUGCAAAUGCGGAUUCAAAAUCACAGGCACUUGUUUCUAUCCAUUAGAAGACACGCUAUGGACGUAAAUAUACGUUUAUAGUGGUUCUAUUCAUGGAUAGAAACAAGUGCAUGUGUCUAAGAUUUUGAAAAAGAGUGCCCUAGAUAGCCAAUGUUGGGAGCGUUACUUGUAAAACGUUUAUGCAUUUGCCAUUUAUGUAGCCUGUCCCCUUUUCCAAUUGCCUCUGUCAUGACAUUGGACGUUAUAUGGUAUUACUAAACUCGUACAGCAAUCGUUCUGAAUACCAUUUAAAUAUCUUAAGAUAUUCAACCUAACGUUCAACUGCUUACUUUAUAUUCGAGACUAAAAUUAAAAAAAGAUAAACCAACAAAACAAUUUAAGAAAGAAAAAUGCUAGGGCAAAUCUUAGUCAGAACCGAAAACGUCAACUUUCCAGGACGUUUAAGUUUAAAUGUGAGACGAGGAGUGUCAGAAAUGAAUAUCUAAAUUAUUUAUUACUAACAUCUUUUAAAAAAGUCAUUAUAUGUAUUUACAUAUAUAUAGACAGUAAAAUCUUAAAUGCUUUAUCAUUAUAAUCGUGCAAACUUCCAUUAUUCUUUUCGAUCGACUGAAUAUUCUAUUUGACUAUCUAUCCCAAAUGUAUUAGUCUCACUGUUCUAUAUUAUUGAUGAAAUACAAGUGGCUGCUUAAAUUCACGUCAUUACCACAUCUCAAUAGUUUGAAUCUUUCAUAUCUAGAAACUAGCUAGGACAUUAAAAAUCGAUGUUAUAGUUAUCCUCCUUCCAGCAUAAUGUGUCAACAGGAAGAGUAUUCCUUUGCUGCAUUGAAGACCCAUAGUUGACCUUCGGUUGUGAUCUUCUCUUUGUUCGUGUUGUUGUCUCUUUGACAUAUUCCCCAUUUCCACUCUCAGUUUUUAUUUUAAUAUAUAGAUCAGGUAGUUUACAUGCAAUCUCCUAGCGCCUUUGGUCAAAAAAACAAAAUAAAUUGUAAAAUUAAUUAGUCUUUUGGUUACUUUAUUGCAGAACUGAAGUCGUAAAAUUUGACAGUAAAUUGCAAAAUUAUUUUUUUCUGUUUCAUUUCCCGAUCUUUUGUAAGAUCAUUUAACUUCUUCCUCACUUUAUUAAUACGUUUUUGUAACACCAUGCAUGUGAUCUAAGCGACUGACACAAUUAAUAGUAAAAGGGCACUUAAUUAAACAAAAGCUAAUCAGCUUAGGAUCAAAGUGUUGGGAAAGUUUUAGAGUUAAUUAGUCUAUCAGUUGUUAUUUUCACUUUUUAAAUUUGAGUGACUCAUUUAAACCCGUCAAGUAAAUGCAAGCAAGGCUAAUUAGUGAGAUCACAAAAUCAAAAUAUAAAGAAGUUAAUAUUGCUUUUCAUGGAUUAUAUAAGUAAAUGGUUGAGACAAGUGUUACCAAACUAAUUGAAAUCGUGAGAAAAUCAAGUCAGAAAGGCGACAGUACACUGUGGGAUACAAUUGACAAAAUAUUUAUUAAGUUUACUGAAUUAUAUCUAAAUAAUAUUAUAAUGAAUAAAGUAAGUAUAUGCAUGUCUUGCACACGUUUGUUAUAUAAACUGAAUGAUCUUUUAAGAAAGUUAAUAUUAGCUUUAUAAUUGCAUACAUUCUAAGCCGUCUAUGCGUUAAGUUCUAUUUAUGAAAAGCAAGGAUUUUAUUAGUAUUACAAAGUUUACUAUAAAAAUCUUUGCUGCCACCAGAGUAUUUUUAAAGGUUUUAUCAGUUGCAUGAUUUACUAACGCAUGUUUGAUACAAUCUGCUUAACGAUCAACACAAAUGGUUCUUUGACAAAAAAACAUCACCUGGAAAAUAAAAUGAUAAUACACGAAAGAAUCAGCUAUCUCAGAAACUGCGCAACUAUAGUCUAAAGCAUAUACUUAUCUGUGUUUUAAAUCUUAAAAAUAGUGGUUUUUUUUUCUAUUUGUAGAUGUUCCGGUGGUUAAAGAACGGAAAGAACAAAGAAAAGACCUCCAAACAAAAAUCUGCAGGUGACAAUUAUGGUUUUCAUAACCAGUCAAAUUCAAAUUACGGAUUUCAAGGAAGUAAGAAUCCAGAAAAUCUGGAUUCGUCAGUUCAUAUCUAUGAUGAGAUCAGUGAAGUUGCAGAAAUUUCAUUUUCAAGACAAUUCACUCUUUUACCAGAGAAAACUAACAUGGGAAAUAAUGUUGAAGGACCAUAUUUAGUCGUACCAAUAUUACCAAGUAGGAGGACAUCUUCAAAAAAGGAUGCAGAUCAGGAAGAUCAAACAGAUUUUAAUGUAAAAUCGUCAAUGAAAAACGAAAGGAAACAGAGAGUUUACAAUGCACCUUGGGAUAAGCCUAAAAGUGAGCAAGGCGAAAAACAUAAAAAUUCAUUGAUUCAUCCAGCAUUUCGUGACUCAGAUUCUGGCUACACGUGCAACAGUGUAAGCACCAGAACGGACUCCGAUCGUGUUAAUGAUAGUGAUACCGGAUGUGAAUAUGACAUGAGCAUUUCAACUGAAAGUGAUGUAAGCAGCGAGUAUAAGGAACUAAUAAGUAAGAUACAAAACAAUUUAACAUUGAAACAUCAAAUCUUAGACAUGAUAAAGGAGUCAGAAACUGGUGAUGGCGGGAAAAUUAAACCGUCGGCAAAGAUCACGUCAUCAUCUUCUGUCGAUUCUUGCGAUUUCAUUCGGUCACGUGAUACUUUUGACAGAGACGACACAGAGUCAGAAUACAGUAGUGGAUUUGAGGAAUAUGAGUUGGAAGAAAAUUUGUCUUGUAAAAUUCCUUCAGCAAAGGCCGAAAACAGAAAAAGUAAAUUUCAUAGGAAUACAUCUGCAGCAAGUUCUGAAAGUGGAAAAUCUACCUCAAAUCCAAGUGUUUCUAAUUCUGAGACUUCGUACAAGUUACAAACUAACAGCCUCAAAGAACAAUAUGUUAUUCCUAAACGAACCUGCAACCUUCAAAGCAAACGUUCUACCUCGAUAGACAGUUCUUAUAAUAAGAAUGCAGACAUUUAUGGCAAAAGUUCAAGGUCCAAGCGUAAUUCGUUGCAAUCAGCCGCACCAUUAGCUCCUAGUCCAACAAAUAUCUACCAAAAAAGUAACAACACUCGAUAUUCCAGUUCAAAUAGAAUGCUUGGGGAUCUUAUAAACAUGAAUCAUAAUAUGCAAACAAUGAAAUUUUAAAAGACUUUGUAAAUUCUUUACGAACAACAUAUUCGAGGAAGUCUGUACAAAUAAGCAUGACAAAAAUAUAAAUUCUUCACGAAAACCAUGUUGGAGGAAGUCUGCACACCUUAGGCAUGACAAAGAUGGCAUUGGUUCCAACGAAAUGAAUGCCAAGACAAAAGAAAUGAUGACAAUAGACGAUUUUGUAAGUAAUUGAAAUGAGAUUAUAGUAUUUACAAAAGUAUGAAAAUCAAAAACUAAUUAUCGAACAUAUUUUCCGAUCUUUCAGUAUUGGCAAACGUAAACAAUUACUUUUUUUUAAAGUCCGGAGUCAAUGAUGUUAAAGAGAUUAUCUACAGAAAAGAGUCCUUUACAGUAAAUGCGUUGCAAAAUUUCAUAUAUUAACAACAUUAUAAGGUCAUAUGUUGAUAAGGUUUGACCUUUUUGCCUUUUUGUAGAACAUACAUUUUAUUUCGUAUGCAUGUUUCAUAAAUGUUAUGUUUGCCUUGAAGAAAACACAAUGAAUAUAUUGUGAGUCUUUGUGACACUUUUAUAGCACUUACAUUUUAUUUUCUUUAUGGUUGGAAUUCAAUAGUGUCGGAACAAUUUAUCUGCACCCAUCUCUAUUCAUUAUAAUAUUUAUUGCACGGGUCAAAUCUGAUCGAAUACAUAUAUAUUUAGAAUAGACGAUCUUCUAUUUGGACUGAAGUUCUGUGUAAAGCCCAGGAAAGUCAAGACUCGUUGACACAAGACAAAAUAAAUAUGUUCAUGUGUUUUAAAUUAGUAGACCAACAUUGCAGGUUGUAUUGAAAAUUAAAGAUAUUAUGUAGAUGAUAUAUGAAAUCUUAUGAUUUAAUUGAUCUUAUUAUUUUCCAAUUUCUUUUUCAGACAAGACGAUAAAGAGAGCCACCAAGUAAAACCAUGUAAAGUACACAGACAUUGUUAGUGCUAUGUCAUUACAUAAAUUACAUAAAUAACAAAAUUUAA
Molecule: long non-coding RNA, 10160 nt
Filed under: Mytilus galloprovincialis (Mediterranean mussel)
Lineage: Eukaryota; Metazoa; Mollusca; Bivalvia; Mytilida; Mytilidae
Source: RNAcentral